CGAAGCCCCUGCCUCCCGAGUUUGUGCUCUGAUGGGGAAGGCCUAGCACAGACAUGGGAUGUCACGGCAGGGCUCUGAAGAGCAGAAGGCUGGGAGGAGGUAUAGCAGGACCAGACGACUGUCACCCCAGUGGGCACGGCAGGCCCCGCUGGGCGGCAUCUUUUGCACAGACCUGAAUUCAUCGGUUUCUCCCCUGAACAUGACUCUUGCA
RNAcentral lists this long non-coding RNA (211 nucleotides) under Homo sapiens (human). RNAcentral describes it as "HSALNT0000720". Lineage: Eukaryota; Metazoa; Chordata; Mammalia; Primates; Hominidae. The record is from RNAcentral.